This 520-nucleotide long non-coding RNA is filed under the name Piliocolobus tephrosceles (Ugandan red Colobus). RNAcentral describes it as "lncRNA (ENSPTEG00000000731.1)". Lineage: Eukaryota; Metazoa; Chordata; Mammalia; Primates; Cercopithecidae. The record is from RNAcentral.
UAAGUACAUAAAUAAAUAAACAAAUAAAUAAACAAAUUUAAAUGACAAAAAUAGUUCACAAAUAAAAACAAUUUAACUUUAAUCUUUUUUUUUUUUUUUACACAGGAGCAUGUAACAGAAUUUCUAAAAAAUAAAAAUGAGGAAAAUGUUCUUCGUAUGGCAAAAGAGCUUUUAUUAAAAUAUAAAUUUAUGGAACAUACAUUUGUAACUAGACAAAUGAAUACGGAAAAAAAAAUACCUGAAUUAAAGGCUGCUUUAAAAGUUGUAAACACGCUCAGCAAAAGAAAGGAAAUGGAUGAAGGUAAAAGCUUGGAACAGUAUUUCCCUUUAGAAGAAUCUUUAUAUGCUAAAGGAGCUAAUGUAAUGGUUGAAUUCUCAUUUAAUGAAGCUAUCAAUCUUUUGAAUCAACAUUUGGAUAGAGCUAUAAAUUUACAUGAGGAAAUGGUAAUUUUUUUUUAACAUAUUUAUUAUGAAUUGAUAAAAAAAAACAAAAAAAACAAAAAUUAUAUUACAUAUAACA